Molecule: ribosomal RNA, 433 nt
Filed under: uncultured bacterium
Lineage: Bacteria
Description: partial 16S ribosomal RNA
Rfam family: Bacterial small subunit ribosomal RNA
Source: RNAcentral
AACGAACGCUGGCGGCAGGCCUAACACAUGCCAGUCGAGCGAGGACUUCGGUUCUAGCGGCGGACGGGUGAGUAACGCGUGGGAAUGUGCCCUUCUCUACGGAAUAUCCCUGGGAAACUGGGAGUAAUACCGUAUACGCCCUUUUGGGGAAAGAUUUAUCGGAGAAGGAUCAGCCCGCGUUGGAUUAGGUAGUUGGUGGGGUAAUGGCCUACCAAGCCGACGAUCCAUAGCUGGUUUGAGAGGAUGAUCAGCCACACUGGGACUGAGACACGGCCCAGACUCCUACGGGAGGCAGCAGUGGGGAAUCUUAGACAAUGGGGGCAACCCUGAUCUAGCCAUGCCGCGUGAGUGAUGAAGGCCUUAGGGUUGUAAAGCUCUUUCAGGUGGGAAGAUAAUGACGGUACCAGCAGAAGAAGCGCCGGCUAACUCCGUG